AAACCGUUGAAAGGGAAGCGAAUGGAGUUAGCAAUUCGCCUCGCCAGAUUCAGCCUUCCGGUCGCCGCGACGCGCGCGYUCUCGAUCUUCGUAGACGGGACGAGUGCGGACGCGGCGCCUGGGUGGCGCACUUCUGGCGGGCGAGCGUCGGCGUCGGUUGCCGGCGGGCUACAAGGCCGCGAGGAAGGUAGGAYGUCGUUCGCGGCGUCUGUUACAGCCUCGCGAUCGCAUGGCYCGCCCGGCGACCGUGGCCAAAUCGUGUCGCGACGCGUGCCUUCCUCCCCUCGGGAAGGAGGGCUGGUGACCCGUUCGGUCGAUCCGGUUGUCGACUGUGGCGGACGGCACGCCUGUGCGCUCGAACCGCUGCCGGCCGAUCGGGCGRUGUUCACACACCACGCGUCGAGGAUGCCGACGACCAUACGGCUCCAUCCGACCCGUCUUGAAACACGGACCAAGGAGUCUAACAUGUGCGCGAGUCUCCGGGUGAUCGAAACCUGUGGGCACAAUGAAAGUAAAGGCGGCCUCGUGUCGCUGAGGUGAGAAGUCGCAAGACCGCAUCAUCGACCGACCUAUUCUACUCUUAGAAAGGUUCGAGUAAGAGCGUACCUGUUGGGACCCGAAAGAUGGUGAACUAUGCCUGAAUAGGGUGAAGCCAGCGGAAACACUGGUGGAAGCUCGUAGCGAUUCUGACGUGCAAAUCGAUCGUCGAAUUUGGGUAUAGCGGCGAAAGACUAAUCGAACCAUCUAGUAGCUGGUUCCCUCCGAAGUUUCCCUUAGGAUAGCUGGAGCUCAUCCGUGCAGU
RNAcentral lists this ribosomal RNA (802 nucleotides) under Homophyton verrucosum. RNAcentral describes it as "eukaryotic LSU rRNA". It matches the Rfam family "Eukaryotic large subunit ribosomal RNA", at positions 402 to 999 of the family's 3401-position model. Lineage: Eukaryota; Metazoa; Cnidaria; Anthozoa; Scleralcyonacea; Spongiodermidae. The record is from RNAcentral.